CAUGCAGUCGAACGAUGAUCCCAGCUUGCUGGGGGAUUAGUGGCGAACGGGUGAGUAACACGUGAGUAACCUGCCCUUGACUCUGGGAUAAGCCUGGGAAACUGGGUCUAAUACCGGAUACGACCAUUCCACGCAUGUGGUGGUGGUGGAAAGCUUUUGUGGUUUUGGAUGGACUCGCGGCCUAUCAGCUUGUUGGUGGGGUAAUGGCCUACCAAGGCGACGACGGGUAGCCGGCCUGAGAGGGUGACCGGCCACACUGGGACUGAGACACGGCCCAGACUCCUACGGGAGGCAGCAGUGGGGAAUAUUGCACAAUGGGCGCAAGCCUGAUGCAGCGACGCCGCGUGAGGGAUGACGGCCUUCGGGUUGUAAACCUCUUUCAGUAGGGAAGAAGCGAAAGUGACGGUACCUGCAGAAGAAGCGCCGGCUAACUACGUGCCAGCAGCCGCGGUAAUACGUAGGGCGCAAGCGUUAUCCGGAAUUAUUGGGCGUAAAGAGCUCGUAGGCGGUUUGUCGCGUCUGCUGUGAAAGACCGGGGCUCAACUCCGGUUCUGCAGUGGGUACGGGCAGACUAGAGUGCAGUAGGGGAGACUGGAAUUCCUGGUGUAGCGGUGAAAUGCGCAGAUAUCAGGAGGAACACCGAUGGCGAAGGCAGGUCUCUGGGCUGUAACUGACGCUGAGGAGC
RNAcentral lists this ribosomal RNA (685 nucleotides) under Arthrobacter sp. J1. RNAcentral's name for it is "bacterial SSU rRNA". It matches the Rfam family "Bacterial small subunit ribosomal RNA", at positions 54 to 754 of the family's 1533-position model. RNAcentral also lists the same sequence under 1 other name. Lineage: Bacteria; Bacillati; Actinomycetota; Actinomycetes; Micrococcales; Micrococcaceae. The record is from RNAcentral.